Molecule: ribosomal RNA, 468 nt
Filed under: uncultured bacterium
Lineage: Bacteria
Description: partial 16S ribosomal RNA
Rfam family: Bacterial small subunit ribosomal RNA
Source: RNAcentral
GACGAACGCUGGCGGCGUGCUUAACACAUGCAAGUCGAACGGAAAGGCCCUGCUUUUGUGGGGUGCUCGAGUGGCGAACGGGUGAGUAACACGUGAGUAACCUGCCCUUUACUUUGGGAUAACUUCAGGAAACUGGGGCUAAUACCGGAUAGGAGCUCCUGCUGCAUGGUGGGGGUUGGAAAGUUUCGGCGGUUGGGGAUGGACUCGCGGCUUAUCAGCUUGUUGGUGGGGUAGUGGCUUACCAAGGCUUUGACGGGUAGCCGGCCUGAGAGGGUGACCGGCCACAUUGGGACUAAGAUACGGCCCAGACUCCUACGGGAGGCAGCAGUGGGGAAUAUUGCACAAUGGGCGGAAGCCUGAUGCAGCAACGCCGCGUGCGGGAUGACGGCCUUCGUGUUGUAAACCGCUUUCGCCUGUGACGAAGCGUGAGUGACGGUAAUGGGUAAAGAAGCACCGGCUAACUACGUG